GGGGAUGCCAGGUUUCGACGGGAGAGGCUGAUUCCGGAUUGCGAGCCGAGAGGUACCGACCUCGUAAAAUCAGUACAACAAUUAAGUGCCAACAGCACAAACUACGCAACUCUUCCAGUAGCUGCAUAAGCGAUCGGAAGGGAAGCUGAUCUCCUAAGAGAGAUCACGUCUCCUGAGGCCGUUUUCCUGGCCGGCUUCAGGGCAGACGUCAGAAAGUCAGGAUGCAGCUCACCAAGCCGCGAGGUGAGCCCAAGCGGACUUUAGGGUCCGAGCGGCUAGUCUGAUAGCAGUUUAGUCGGUUGACCUGCUAUCGGACGAAAACGAAUAACCGACUAUGCUCGUAGAGAUCCGAGGAUCUAAUCUUUCGGACGCGGGUUCGAUUCCCGCCAUCUCCACCU
This 398-nucleotide transfer-messenger RNA is filed under the name Anaerolineaceae bacterium. It matches the Rfam family "transfer-messenger RNA". Rfam says of the family: Bacterial tmRNA, also known as 10Sa RNA or SsrA, is named for its dual tRNA and mRNA-like properties. Its role is to liberate the mRNA from a stalled ribosome. To accomplish this part of the tmRNA is used as a reading frame that ends in a translation stop signal. Lineage: Bacteria; Bacillati; Chloroflexota; Anaerolineae; Anaerolineales; Anaerolineaceae. The record is from RNAcentral.